This 197-nucleotide small RNA is filed under the name Acidovorax sp. Its description in RNAcentral is "Manganese sequence". The stretch from base 1 to 134 matches the Rfam family "Manganese Mn2+ riboswitch aptamer (yybP-ykoY)". Rfam says of the family: This RNA was originally discovered in E. coli during a large scale screen and was named SraF. The family was later found to exist upstream of related families of protein genes in many bacteria, including the the yybP and ykoK genes in B. subtilis. The record is from RNAcentral. Lineage: Bacteria; Pseudomonadati; Pseudomonadota; Betaproteobacteria; Burkholderiales; Comamonadaceae.
CAAUUGUGAUGUCUUUGGGGAGUAGCCCGCCCGGUCGUUCCAUGCGCCGGGGGCAUGCGUCAACACACUUGGGUUCCUUGCAACCCAUGGCGCAUGCGGUUUUUCAUUCUUUCUUGAAUGAGCUGGGCAAGACCAUUGACUGCAUGCCGAUCCAAUGGCCGGAGUCGGGGUGCAGUCAAUGCGUUCGCACAACAAUC